ACCAUGAACAAGUAUGUACUGAUUAAUCACACAUCUUUUUCACAGUGUGUCUUUUUCUUACACAGACUAUUUUCUGAAGAGUCACUGCUGAUGAAGGGCACAAGUCAUCUUGCAAGGACUUCAAUCAUCUUGCUCUGUAGAGCUUCCAGGUCAAGGAGAGACAAGGCCAUGUAAAUGUAAGUGAUUCUUAAUGAGUUCUUUACCCAUAGCUUUAUUAAGGCACAAAUAACCAUAAAAUGACUCAUUCUAUUGAUUUUGAAUCCAGCAUAAGACUUAUUUCUAAACCCUGAAGAACAGUGGUUGGGAGAAAGAACAUCUUCAACCAGGGUAGUAAUUAUUGCCAGAGUAAGUUGCCUUCAAGAGUCAUUGUCAAGUAAUCAGUAAACACAUAAGAAUAAUUGCCCAUGACUUGGGAAUGCUCCUGCCUGAGCCAUGACAGGAGGAAGGAUACCCACACUAUCCUUCCUUCUGCCCAAAAGCUCCAACUGCAUUUCACUUGAACCAUGAGAAUGCAAUUCUCCCAGUGCCAGUGGAUCAUACUCCAGCAAAUCUGCAGUCACCAGGUCAGAAAUUGCUCCUGUAGGUCAGCAAUACCAGCAGAUCACAAAAAAAACCAAACCUCAGAGCAAAUCAGGCUAGUAGCACCAAGUAGUUGCAGCCAUCACCUGAACCCCACUCUGUUUAGCUGUGUGCAGCCAGACCAGAGGAGAGGGAUGAACACUCUCCAGCCAGAGCUGAAGUUAAAGCUGCAGUAGAAACCUGCCUCCUGCUUCACAGCACACCAGGCUGACACACAGCAGAGACCAGAAACUCCCUGCAUUUUCCUCCUCCCACACUCCAGCUCAAAGCCUUCAUAAAACCCUGAGUGAAUACACAGCUUGUGUUUGGUGAAGCAGUUUCCUUUCAGUUGUGCAGAGGGGAAGAGUAACACAUUUUACUUUCUGUUUUUCCUUCUCCCUUACCCUGCUGAUUUAAUUUCCAUCCCCUCACACGCCAUGCAGCCUGUUACAGCCAUGCUGCAGGUAGCCAUGGCAUAUUGGCAAUAAUUUCCAGACUAAUCUCCUUCAGUGUGGGGGCUCCCAUGGAUACAGAAAAACAGGGAGUCAUUUGCUUUUUACUCCCAGUGGAUCAUGGAGCUACAGGAAGGUGCCCUCUCCAGUGGCAAUCACUACCACACCCAUGCAGACUCUAUGAGGCUGGAUUAUGCUAUACAUUCCAUGGUUUAAUUUCAAGGCAAAGAUACUAAUAUGGUAUCCAAAGAUGAAUACAAAAGCAUUCUAAAAGAGUAUACAUUUUUUUUCUUUAAUAUAUUUGAAAACAGAAAUGCAUAAAAUUUCUUAAAAUGUUUCAAUGUACAAAUUUUGAGUAAAAUCACUAAAAUCUGCAGGCAAGACAGGGCUCACAUGUAGUGCUGAACCCUAAUCCAGGAAAAAAAAGUUAGUCUUUUCCCUUUAUCAACUCUGGUGGGAUUUUUUGCUUUCUGAAGAAAUAGCAUAGAUUGCCCACUGUGAUGGUUUUUUUUCUGUUUCUAGCCUCUGUUUUUUAUCUGGAUUCUUUUCCUCAAGGCUCUGUGGGGAGUCCCUACAAGUUAUCAAUAUCAAUGCAUCCCAUCCCAUGAUUCACACUCAAAUGCUGUGAUUUGGAGCAACUCCUCCUUCACCCUCAAGUUUGCAUCCCUUAUUCUUUGAGUUGUGACCUCUUCUACUCUGGUUUAGGAUCUCUCAGUAGCUUUGCACAGCUCUUCCAGAAAAGAGAAUCAUCUCAUUUUAUACCCCUUACUGCAAAAGUGAAAUACAAUAAAUCUUAGCAAAUC
This 1813-nucleotide long non-coding RNA is filed under the name Parus major (Great Tit). Its description in RNAcentral is "lncRNA (ENSPMJG00000001702.1)". The record is from RNAcentral. Lineage: Eukaryota; Metazoa; Chordata; Aves; Passeriformes; Paridae.